Molecule: ribosomal RNA, 468 nt
Filed under: uncultured bacterium
Lineage: Bacteria
Description: partial 16S ribosomal RNA
Rfam family: Bacterial small subunit ribosomal RNA
Source: RNAcentral
GACGAACGCUGGCGGCGUGCUUAACACAUGCAAGUCGAACGGAAAGGCCCUGCUGUUGUGGGGUGCUCGAGUGGCGAACGGGUGAGGAACACGUGAGGAACCUGCCCGUGACUUUGGGAUAACGUCAGGAAACUGGGGCUAAUACCGGAUAGGAGCUCCUGCUGCAUGGUGGGGGUUGGAAAGGUUCGGCGGGUGGGGAUGGAAUCGCGGCUUAUCAGCUUGUUGGUGGGGUAGGGGCUUACCAAGGCUUUGACGGGUAGCCGGCCUGAGAGGGUGACCGGCCACCUUGGGACUGAGAUACGGCCCAGACUCCUACCGGCGGCAGCAGUGGGGAAUCUUGCCCACUGGGCGGCAGCCUGAUGCAGCACCUCCGCGUGCGGGAUGACGGCCUUCGGGUUGUAAACCGCUUUCGCCUGUGCCGAAGCGUGAGUGACGGUAAUGGGUAAAGAAGCACCGGCUAACUACGUG